This 554-nucleotide long non-coding RNA is filed under the name Octopus vulgaris (common octopus). Lineage: Eukaryota; Metazoa; Mollusca; Cephalopoda; Octopoda; Octopodidae. The record is from RNAcentral.
AAUGCCGGAAGUGAGAGAAAAUGGCUUUCACAGACAUCGACCACCGCAACAUACUCUCUCUCUCUUAUCAAUAUUAUUACCUUUAUUAAAUUUCUUGGGAAGCUUCACAACACUACACCUAAUUUCAGUCAUGAAUUACGAGCAGUUUGCUAUAUUUUUUGAUAAAGCUGAUGGAUUAACUUCAUUACUUUCUGGUCAUUUAAUUAAAAAAAGUUAAACUUCUCCGUGAAGAACUUGUGACUGUUGAGGGAGAAACAAAACUGGUAGACGUAAAAUUAUCUCCAAGACCUAAAUUCUGGUAAAACCUAAAUUUUUCGAUGAUGUUCGUUGGAAAAAAAAAACCUAAUAAUUCACUAAAUAAUAAUAUUAUGUAAUACUAUUUCCUAUGUCUGUAAUUAAACCCUAAAGCUACUUAAGCAAAGUGUCUUUAGAUAUUUUUACCGUUUCCACUGCUCUUAUUUAUUUUCAGUUCUGGAACUCCUUCUGCUCGUAACUUUUUAUUUUUUAUGCAUUUUAAAAGAAUUCAGAUUUUCAUUUUUGUUUAAUAAAAUAUU